GGGUUGACAUUGAGAUGGAGUUAAUCGGGGAUGAUGAGAGGACAGUAUGGAAAUCAGUGGUAUCAAAAGAUGUGUACAGCAACGAUUCUCAUCCAAUAUGUAAGUUUGUUUUUGUGGACGAGUGUUUAUAAAACGGGUUACAGAGCUAACAUCUCUUCAAAAUGUGAUGAAGGACACUGAUGAAGGUCUUCAUGAGUCGUGUUCAGUGGGGUGAUGAAGGUCUUCAUGAGUCGUGUUCA
This is a non-coding RNA of Salvelinus sp. IW2-2015, 239 nucleotides long. Lineage: Eukaryota; Metazoa; Chordata; Actinopteri; Salmoniformes; Salmonidae. The record is from RefSeq and is a predicted model, not a curated record.